RNAcentral lists this unclassified non-coding RNA (215 nucleotides) under Hevea brasiliensis (rubber tree). Lineage: Eukaryota; Viridiplantae; Streptophyta; Magnoliopsida; Malpighiales; Euphorbiaceae. The record is from RNAcentral.
GUCCGUUCCCUCUGAGGAUAGUAUGGGCGUUGAAAUUGAAAGGAUUAGAAUACGAUACCGUUUACGAAGAUCUGGCCAACAAGAGCCCCUUGCUUUUGGAGUACAAUCCGAUUCAUAAGAAAGUUCCGGUGCUCGUCCAUGGCGGAAAGCCGAUCGCCGAAUCGCUCGUUAUUCUUGAAUACAUCGACGAAACAUGGAAGCAAAAUCCAUUGCUG